AGGUUUUUUUUUCCAAAAUAAGUGUUGUUCCCUCGUCUCGUGAUUAUCGAAUCCGAGGGUUUCAUUGUUUAUCUUUUUCUCUCAACAUCAGAUCUCUGGUUCAAUGCAAAACUAGGAUUCAUUUUUCAUCAUUCUCAUCGCAACUAGACUAGCGAUCAAACCAACUUGUUUCUUUUACCGAUCCCAAGAACAAUGGAUAACUCUUUUCUUCUACCGAUUUCAACACUUUUCUUCUUCUCUUUAUCAUUCUCGUUACAGUCUCGAGUAUCAACUUCAACAGAGGGAGGAGAAAAUAAGAGCUAGAGAAGACAAGAUUUGGGUUGCGCAAUCCCACAAAAUUUAAUUCUAAGUUUACAUUCUCAUAUUUUUACCAGUUUUCGGUGAUCUGGAAAACUAUACCGCAAUAUGCCAGUGAAGAUUGUCGAAGAAGGUCGGUUUUAGUGUUUCUUCAAAUUGAUCGUUCUAUUUGUUACCAUGUUCAGUCAUUUUUGAGGACUUGGAUUGUUCGGUACCUUGUCAGAUCCGAAAUUGCUGGUCAAGGAAGCUAUAAAGGGGAGCCAAAUCUACAUGACAAACUAACUUUCUUAAGCACGAAUACGGCACAACAAGUGUUUGAGAAAAGUCCUAAGAGAAACAAGUGUCUUCCUUUACCCAUUUCAGUAACGCAGGGUUUUGUGGCCUGGGAAUGGAUUGCUGGUGUGGAUUUAAGGCAGGAUAGGUUUAAUUUCAAGCAUCAAGUGGAUUGAUUCCGAUAUUAGUCUGAGAUUGUGUAAAUUUAGUUUAUCUCGUCUUUUUUCUUACAUAAAAGUUGGAAUCACUGCACUUCGUAACAAACUUAUAUUUAUGAAAUUUGA
Papaver somniferum (opium poppy) is the source of this 854-nucleotide long non-coding RNA. RefSeq lists it as uncharacterized. NCBI's taxonomy places the organism in Eukaryota, Viridiplantae, Streptophyta, Magnoliopsida, Ranunculales, Papaveraceae. The record is from RefSeq and is a predicted model, not a curated record. The transcript is spliced from 4 exons.